GGCGAACGGGUGAGUAACACGUGGGCAACCUGCCCUCAGCUCUGGGAUAACUCCAAGAAAUUGGGGCUAAUACCGGAUAUGACUGCUGACCGCAUGGUCUGGUGGUGGAAAGAUUUAUCGGCUGGGGAUGGGCCCGCGGCCUAUCAGCUUGUUGGUGGGGUAGUGGCCUACCAAGGCGACGACGGGUAGCCGGCCUGAGAGGGUGACCGGCCACACUGGGACUGAGACACGGCCCAGACUCCUACGGGAGGCAGCAGUGGGGAAUAUUGCGCAAUGGGCGAAAGCCUGACGCAGCGACGCCGCGUGGGGGAUGACGGCCUUCGGGUUGUAAACCUCUUUCAGCAGGGACGAAGCGGAAGUGACGGUACCUGCAGAAGAAGCACCGGCCAACUACGUGCCAGCAGCCGCGGUAAUACGUAGGGUGCAAGCGUUGUCCGGAAUUAUUGGGCGUAAAGAGCUCGUAGGCGGUUUGUUGCGUCGGCUGUGAAAACCUGAGGCUCAACCUCAGGCCUGCAGUCGAUACGAGCAGACUAGAGUGUUGCAGGGGAGACUGGAAUUCCUGGUGUAGCGGUGAAAUGCGCAGAUAUCAGGAGGAACACCGGUGGCGAAGGCGGGUCUCUGGGCAACAACUGACGCUGAGG
RNAcentral lists this ribosomal RNA (641 nucleotides) under Blastococcus sp. I12A-02663. RNAcentral's name for it is "bacterial SSU rRNA". It matches the Rfam family "Bacterial small subunit ribosomal RNA", at positions 97 to 751 of the family's 1533-position model. The record is from RNAcentral. Lineage: Bacteria; Bacillati; Actinomycetota; Actinomycetes; Geodermatophilales; Geodermatophilaceae.